This 406-nucleotide ribosomal RNA is filed under the name uncultured bacterium. Its description in RNAcentral is "partial 16S ribosomal RNA". It matches the Rfam family "Bacterial small subunit ribosomal RNA", at positions 30 to 526 of the family's 1533-position model. The record is from RNAcentral.
AUUGAACGCUGGCGGCAGGCCUAACACAUGCAAGUCGAACGAGUGGCGGACGUGUGAUUAAUGUCUGUGACACUUCCUGAUGGAUGGGGAUGACUAAUGGAAACGGUAGCUACUACCGCAUACCAUCGGAUGUGCCCAGAUUGGAUUAGCUAGUAGGUGGGGUAAAGGCUCACCUAGGCGACGAUCCCUAGCUGGUCUGAGAGGAUGACCAGACAAACUGGAACUGAUACACGGUCCAGACGCCUACGGGAGGCAGCAGUGGGGAAUAUUGCACAAUGGGCGCAAGCCUGAUGCAGCCAUGCCGCGUGUAUGAAGAAGGCCUUCGGGUUGUAAAGUACUUUCAGCGGGGAAGCGGUACCUGCAGAAGAAGCACCGGCUAACUCCGUGCCAGCAGCCGCGGUAAUUC